UACGUAGGGGGCAAGCGUUGUCCGGAUUUAUUGGGCGUAAAGAGCGUGUAGGCGGCCAUACAGGUCAGCUGUGAAAACUCGAGGCUCAACCUCGAGACGUCGGUUGAAACCGUAUGGCUAGAGUCCGGAAGAGGAGAGUGGAAUUCCCGGUGUAGCGGUGAAAUGCGCAGGAUAUCGGGAAGAACACCCGUGGCGAAGGCGGCUCUCUGGGACGGUACUGACGCUGAGACGCGAAAGCGUGGGAGCGAACAGG
Molecule: ribosomal RNA, 253 nt
Filed under: uncultured bacterium
Lineage: Bacteria
Description: partial 16S ribosomal RNA
Rfam family: Bacterial small subunit ribosomal RNA
Source: RNAcentral